AUACGUAGGUGGCAAGCGUUGUCCGGAAUUAUUGGGCGUAAAGCGCGCGCAGGUGGUUCCUUAAGUCUGAUGUGAAAGCCCCCGGCUCAACCGGGGAGGGUCAUUGGAAACUGGGGAACUUGAGUGCAGAGGAGGAUAGUGGAAUUCCAAGUGUAGCGGUGAAAUGCGUAGAGAUUUGGAGGAACACCAGUGGCGAAGGCGACUGUCUGGUCUGUAACUGACACUGAGGCGCGAAAGCGUGGGGAGCAAACAGGAUUAGAUACCCUGGUAGUCCACGCCGUAAACGAUGAGUGCUAAGUGUUGGGGGGUUUCCGCCCCUCAGUGCUGCAGCUAACGCAUUAAGCACUCCGCCUGGGGAGUACGGUCGCAAGACUGAAACUCAAAGGAAUUGACGGGG
This 397-nucleotide ribosomal RNA is filed under the name uncultured bacterium. RNAcentral describes it as "partial 16S ribosomal RNA". It matches the Rfam family "Bacterial small subunit ribosomal RNA", at positions 523 to 918 of the family's 1533-position model. The record is from RNAcentral.